UAAAAUUAAAACCCCAUAGCCUAAUCCUUACGAAAUUAGGGAAGACAACACGCAAAGAACUCGUUCCCUGUAAAUCUCUCAUAUAACCCUCAUCAAUCGUCCCUGUCAAUCUCUCCCCCUCUCUCUCAAUAUCAAGCAACAUAGACACCGGCCCUCAAUUGUUUGAGAGAGGCGUAAUUUCUGGGAAUUUUAUUCUCCAUUAUUUCAAGUUUGAUUAUUACACUGGCGAAAUCUGCACUGUAAGAGGGACGAUAAGUUUAUAGGGUUCUUGAGGUGAAGGAUGGACAAUUAAUUCUUUGCUAUUCACUAUUUACUAGAAAUUAUUAAAAUUUCA
Molecule: long non-coding RNA, 334 nt
Organism: Olea europaea var. sylvestris
Lineage: Eukaryota; Viridiplantae; Streptophyta; Magnoliopsida; Lamiales; Oleaceae
Exons: 2
Source: RefSeq, a predicted model, not a curated record